UUCCUACGGGGGGCAGCAGUGGGGAAUAUUGCACAAUGGGCGCAAGCCUGAUGCAGCAACGCCGCGUGCGGGAUGACGGCCUUCGGGUUGUAAACCGCUUUUAGUAGGGAAGAAGCCUUCGGGUGACGGUACCUGCAGAAAAAGGACCGGCUAACUACGUGCCAGCAGCCGCGGUAAUACGUAGGGUCCGAGCGUUGUCCGGAAUUAUUGGGCGUAAAGAGCUCGUAGGCGGUUUGUCGCGUCUGCUGUGAAAACUAGAGGCUCAACCUCUAGCCUGCAGUGGGUACGGGCAGACUUGAGUGGUGUAGGGGAGACUGGAAUUCCUGGUGUAGCGGUGGAAUGCGCAGAUAUCAGGAGGAACACCGAUGGCGAAGGCAGGUCUCUGGGCACUUACUGACGCUCAUGCACGAAAGCGUGGGGAGCAAACAGGAUUAGAUACCCUGGUAGUCA
RNAcentral lists this ribosomal RNA (450 nucleotides) under uncultured bacterium. RNAcentral describes it as "bacterial SSU rRNA". It matches the Rfam family "Bacterial small subunit ribosomal RNA", at positions 336 to 796 of the family's 1533-position model. The record is from RNAcentral.